RNAcentral lists this non-coding RNA (58 nucleotides) under unclassified sequences. The record is from RNAcentral.
GCUGGUCACCGGUGGUGGUCUACUGUCACAGGACAGUGCACUUCUACUGUUGGCCAGA